Molecule: long non-coding RNA, 546 nt
Organism: Fopius arisanus
Lineage: Eukaryota; Metazoa; Arthropoda; Insecta; Hymenoptera; Braconidae
Exons: 4
Source: RefSeq, a predicted model, not a curated record
AUAGCCUUUAUGCGCUGUAGUGGAACUGUCACCGUUGGUUUGACAGCUGGGGUUAUGUUGCCCAUGGUGUAUCGGGGUUGUUCCAGUAUGCAGGUUUCGUCAUUAUAAGGGUAUCUUUUGAUUGUCAUCGAAGCAUUGGUGUGUUCAGGUGUUUGCUUCUUUUUCUAGUUGGCUGGUUCUCUUUUGGGUUCUGCGGAUACUUCGAGAGAUGCAGAUUGGUGUUUUCCGACGUUUGAGCGUUUCCAGAAGGAAUUCAUUGUCGAUGUUCGAAUUGUUAGUGGAUUUUUUUGUUGUUGAUUAUAAAUUGUUAUUGUAUCUUCGGUAAUAGAUGCAUUGGAAUUCUUCGUGAAAAGGUAAUCAAUUGGUUUUUCUGAGUUUAGGGUAAAAGUGCCUGUAGUAUUAACUAUAUUUUUCUAAUAAAUUUUAUUUUAUUGGGAAUCAGCUUGUUCGUGUGAUUAAUGAUGGAAAUCGAUCUUGAAUUGUAUUUACCAAUUUUUAAGUCAAAAUGCUUUUAGUAUUAAUUAUAUUUUUUUUAUGAAUUUUCAU